Arabidopsis lyrata subsp. lyrata is the source of this 867-nucleotide long non-coding RNA. RefSeq lists it as uncharacterized. Lineage: Eukaryota; Viridiplantae; Streptophyta; Magnoliopsida; Brassicales; Brassicaceae. The record is from RefSeq and is a predicted model, not a curated record. The transcript is spliced from 2 exons.
CUUUAACGAGAAGUAAGAGCAAGCUACCUGUUCCUGAAGGAAAAUAUUAUCUAGUUGAUUGUGGAUUUGCAAAUCGACGCAUUUUUUUAGCUCCGUUCAGAGGUACAAAGUAUCAUCUACAAGACUUUAGAGGUCAAGGUUGUGAUCCUAGUAAUCAAAAUGAGUUAUUCAACUUGCGUCAUGCAUCUUUGAGAAAUGUGAUCGAGAGAAUUUUUGGUAUCUUCAAAUCUCGCUUUUUGAUUUUCAAAUCAGCACCGCCUUUUCCUUUUAAGGUACAAGCAUAACUUGUAUUAGCUUGUGCUGGAUUACAUAACUUUCUUCGUAGAGAAUGUCGGUCCGAUGAGUUUCUUCCCGAAGAAUACAGUGACAACGACGAAGAAAACAAUGAGAGCCACGAAGAAAACAAUUAUGAGGAAAAUGGAGAUACGGGACCUCUCCAAUCUCAACAAAGGGAAUAUGCUAAUAAUUGGAGAGACAAAAUAACUGCUAGUAUGUGGGUAGAAGCUACAGGAACAGGGAGCAUACCAUGAAGAUCAUGAAGUUUUUAUUUUCAAAUAUUUUUCUCUUCUUUGCCUGUGUUGGAUUAAGGGGUGACAAAGAUCUUGGUUUGUUUGGUUUCAUUGUUUGUGACGAAGCUUGUUAUCUUUGAGCAAACUUUUGAUUUUCUUUUUAUAAUAAGUUUUUAUUUACCAGAGAGUUGUACUAAUUUGGUUCUUCGAAUUUGCGGUUUUGAGUCUUGAUAGUCUUGUUUUUGCUUCAUCUUCUUCCUUUGAUAUCUUCUGAUUCAGACCUCGGUUUGGAGAUCUAAAAGUUGUUCUGAAAUCUUGAGAUCAAGAUAUUUCCAACCGUAUAAAGAUGAGCUUCUGA